CCUGGCGAGCCGUGUGUCAGAGGUGGCCGACCCCUGAAAUAAACAGUCCAGCUUUGUUUAUUUCAGUGCCCAGACAUUCAAAUAAAGGCAUCUAGGAUAUGAUCUUGAAUGUUUGAUCCUCUUUGAGACGUUUAACACAUUUUCAGAGGAAGUGUGUCCAGACAAUAGAUAUAGUAGUUUUGUCUAGGAGCACCUUUAUGUGUAGCCACUUCUUGGGAUACCUAAGCGAUUUCUCCUUCAACCAGAUCACCCUAACCUCUCACCCAUCUACCAUACACCUCCUUUACUAACUUCUGCUUUUCCCUCUAAUGUGCUUCCUCUCUCUCAACUCUCAGAUCUCCUCCAGUAUGUACUGACUGGCCUAAUGCCAUGUGUAUUUUAAUUUGUUCUUCCCAGCCGGUUGUUUAAUUCCUUAUCUGAAACUAAAUCUAUUAUAUUGUUUAUUCAAGUGAACUAUUACAGUGAAGUGGAGAAAAGAGUUUGGCACCCAAAAGGCUGAUGACCUACCAAAUACUAAGAUUGCUCACAAAGUGCAUACUUUUGAAAUCACUGUAUUUCAAAAUGUUGAGCAUAAGCUAAUCCUUUCAGCACUACAUAAGGAUGAAUAAUGUGACUUAUUGUGACACUUUUCAACCAGCAGAAGAUAGCAUUGUGUUCCCAGUAGAGCUGAAUUUGCACAAGUUACACCUCUGAAAAUGCCAGAUGGUCUAUGGUCUACUUUUGAGAGCUGUCACAUAUGUAAAGAUUUGAAAAAAGAAAGACAGCUGAAUGAGAGCAGUGGAUCAUUAAAGGGAGAGUGAGGGUCCCUGGGUAUCACUAUGUUUUAAGAAGCAUUGUGUCAUUUCCCAUAUUACCCUUUUUUUUUUUUAAGAUGUACACAACCUUUUAAAAAAAUAAGGCAACAGUGAAAUGGUCAGGAAUCAGGCCCGUUUCAAGCUGCUGCACUUGGCAAAGCUAUUAGAGGAAGAAGUAACCAAUAAACAAAGGCAGGAUGAUUGGAAGAAUAAUAGAGCCUCCACCCCACCUCCUCUCCGUUGCCACACCAACCAGGAAUCAGGCAACAUGUAGAGUAAUGAAGGCCUGCCAACUCCACCAUCAGGCAGAUUCUGGAGGUUGGGGGGGGAAAGAGAGAAGCUCCUUGUCUCUUAUCUGAAGAAGAGCUCUGUGUAAGCUCAAAAGCUUGUCUCUCACCAGCAGAAGUUGGUCCAGAAAAAGAUACUACCUCAUCUUGUCUUUCUAAUAUCUUUGGAACAACAUGGCUACAACACUGCAUAUCUUUUCCCUUACAGCAGUGUGGGUGAUUGGGCUUCAGAUGUAUUAGAUAUACUGAAGGAAGGCUGAUACAAAAUGGAGACUCCAAGUUGGGGACAAAACUUUGUUAUCCCUCUCCUGAGUGAAAAGAGGACAUGGAGCUGGUCUUCUCACCGGGCAGUGUCCCUGGAACUCUCCACUGUGUGCAUGUGAACCUUUCACCCUCUGCAUUUUUGGUCUGCUCAGUCUUGGUAGGGUUAGACCUCCAGGUAGUACCAACGCCAUCCAGAACCGCCUGGUGAAAGCCAUCACACCACGCCUGGGGGAGAUCUCCGUGAACUGCGCCAUCCCCGGUACCGACAGCCAGCUAUGACCUGAUGUCAUUGUCACCAACAAGGCCCAGAAAAAGAUCAUCCUCGUCGACGUCACGGUCUCCUUUGAGAACAGGACCCUGGCAUUUUGCAAAGCCCUAGCUUGUAAGCUGGAAAAGUACG
Non-coding RNA from Chrysemys picta bellii (western painted turtle), 1745 nucleotides. The record is from RefSeq and is a predicted model, not a curated record. Lineage: Eukaryota; Metazoa; Chordata; Testudines; Emydidae.